CUCUGAACAGGUGAGACGGCACAUUGUUCCCUCUGAACAGGUGAGACGGCACAUUGUUCCCUCUGAACAGGUGAGACGGCACAUUGUUCCCUCUGAACAGGUGAGACGGCACAUUGUUCCCUCUGAACAGGUGAGACGGCACAUUGUUCCCUCUGAACAGGUGAGACGGCACAUUGUUCCCUCUGAACAGGUGAGACGGCACAUUGUUCCCUCUGAACAGGUGAGACGGCACAUUGUUCCCUCUGAACAGGUGAGACGGCACAUUGUUCCCUCUGAACAGGUGAGACGGCACAUUGUUCCCUCUGAACAGGUGAGACGGCACAUUGUUCCCUCUGAACAGGUGAGACGGCACAUUGUUCCCUCUGAACAGGUGAGACGGCACAUUGUUCCCUCUGAAUGUCGUCAAAUCAAAUGUUGAUAUCUCAUUUCAGCUGAUAUCUCAAAGUGCUGUACAGAAACCCAGCCUAAAACCCCCCAAACAGCAAGCAAUGCAGGUGUAGAAGCACGGUGGCUCGGAAAAACUCCCUAGAAAGGUCAAAACCUAGGAAGAAACCUAGAGAGGAACCAGGCUAUGAGGGGUGGCCAGUCCUCUUCUGGCUGUGUCGGGUGGAGAUUAUAACAGAACAUGGCCAAGAUGUUCAAAUGUUCAUAAAUGACCAGCAUGGUCAAAUAAUAAUAAUCACAGGCAGAACAGUUUAAACUGGAGCAGCAGCACGGCCAGGUGGACUGGGGACAGCAAGGAGUCAUCAUGCCAGUUAGUCCUGAGGCACGGUCCUAGGGCUCAGAUCCUCCUAGAGAGAGAGAAUUAGAGAGAGCAUACUUAAAUUCACACAGGACACCGGAUAGGGGAAAGGAAAGGAAAGGAAAGAUUUGUCCAUAGAAGAAGUGAAGAAAUUUCCACUUGAUGUGGUAGCUGAUGUUCAGAGGAUUUGUUUUAUAGCUGUUUGUUCCAGACUUAUACUGACUAGUGAUUGAUUAACAGGUUCCAGACUUAUACUGACUAGUGAUUGAUUAACAGGUUCCAGACUUAUACUGACCAGUGAUUGAUUAACAGGUUCCAGACUUAUACUGACUAGUGAUUGAUUAACAGGUUCCAGACUUAUACUGACCAGUGAUUGAUUAACAGGUUCCAGACUUAUACUGACCAGUGAUUGAUUAACAGGUUCCAGACUUAUACUGACUAGUGAUUGAUUAACAGGUUCCAGACUUAUACUGACCAGUGAUUGAUUAACAGGUUCCAGACUUAUACUGACUAGUGAUUGAUUAACAGGUUCCAGACUUAUACUGACUAGUGAUUGAUUAACAGGUUCCAGACUUAUACUGACUAGUGAUUGAUUAACAGGUUCCAGACUUAUACUGACUAGUGAUUGAUUAACAGGUUCCAGACUGAUUGUCGUUUGAUUGAUUGAUUGACAGGUGCCAGACUGAGGCUGUU
Molecule: long non-coding RNA, 1435 nt
Organism: Oncorhynchus keta (chum salmon)
Lineage: Eukaryota; Metazoa; Chordata; Actinopteri; Salmoniformes; Salmonidae
Exons: 3
Source: RefSeq, a predicted model, not a curated record